AGGAAGCGAGAAGUCGACGCGCCUCUCGAGGCGUCCGGCCCUCCGCGAGCGCCCGCGGGGGUUCGGGUCACGGACCCGGUCCGUUCCCGUUCCCACCGAGGGGCUGUCCGCGUAAAUGGAGGUGUCCUCGGACGGCGUCGAAUUCCGGUCCGCGACGCUACGGCUUGGAUGGUCCACCCGACCCGUCUUGAAACACGGACCAAGGAGUCUAACAUGCGCGCGAGUCGUUGGGUUCGCGAUGCUAAACCCAUAGGCGCAAUGAAAGUGAAGGCCGCCGCUCCGGCGGCCGAGGGAGGACGGGGCCUCGCCCCAGCACUCCCGGGGCGUCUGAUCCCUCAUCGCGAGGGGAGGCGCACCCAGAGCGCACACGUUGGGACCCGAAAGAUGGUGAACUAUGCCUGGCCAGGACGAAGUCAGGGGAAACCCUGAUGGAGGUCCGUAGCGAUUCUGACGUGCAAAUCGAUCGUCGGAGCUGGGUAUAGGGGCGAAAGACUAAUCGAACCAUCUAGUAGCUGGUUCCCUCCGAAGUUUCCCUCAGGAUAGCUUGCGCUCGGAAAGGAGUCUCAUCCGGUAAAGCGAAUGAUUAGAGGCCUUGGGGCCGAAACGGCUUCAACCUAUUCUCAAACUUUAAAUGGGUGAGAGCUCCGGCUUGCUCGAUUAACGAAGCCGGAGGCUGGAUCGGAGUGCCUAGUGGGCCACUUUUGGUAAGCAGAACUGGCGCUGUGGGAUGAACCAAACGACGGGUUAAGGCGCCCGAAUCGACGCUCAUGGGAAACCAUGAAAGGUGUUGGUUGCUUAAGACAGCAGGACGGUGGCCAUGGAAGUCGGAAUCCGCUAAGGAGUGUGUAAUAACUCACCUGCCGAAGCAACUAGCCCUGAAAAUGGAUGGCGCUGAAGCGUCGUGCCUAUACCCGGCCGUCGCGGCGGGGCGGAUUCGUUCCGUUCGAUGCUGCGACGAGUAGGAGGGUCGCGGCGGCGUGCGCAGAAGGGUCUGGGCUCGAGCCUGCCUGGAGCCGCCGCCGGUGCAGAUCUUGGUGGUAGUAGCAAAUACUCCAGCGAGGCCCUGGAGGACUGAUGUGGAGAAGGGUUUCGUGUGAACAGCCGUUGCACACGAGUCAGUCGAUCCUAAGCCCUAGGAGAAAUCCGACGCCUACGGCGACGGGAAAAAUUUUGAAAGAGAAAGAAACCCGUUGAUCGGGCGAAAGGGAAUCCGGUUCCUAUUCCGGAACCCGGCAGCGGAACCGCUGUUUGUCGGGCCCUCACAAGGGGUUCGUCAGGGUAACCUAAAAGGGCCCGGAGACGCCGUCGGGAGCCCCGGAAAGAGUUUUCUUUUCUGCAUGAGCGUUCGAGUUCCCUG
Molecule: ribosomal RNA, 1357 nt
Filed under: Acanthagrion phallicorne
Lineage: Eukaryota; Metazoa; Arthropoda; Insecta; Odonata; Coenagrionidae
Description: eukaryotic LSU rRNA
Rfam family: Eukaryotic large subunit ribosomal RNA
Source: RNAcentral